UACGGAGGGUGCAAGCAUUAAUCGGAAUUAUUGGGCGUAAAGGGCGCGUAGGCGGAUUAGUAAGUCAGAUGUGAAAUACCGAGGCUCAACUUCGGUGCUGCAUUUGAAACUACUAAUCUAGAGGAUAGAAGGAGAAAACGGAAUUCCACGUGUAGCGGUGAAAUGCGUGGAUAUGUGGAAGAACACCUGUGGCGAAAGCGGUUUUCUAUUUUAUUCCUGACGCUGAGGCGCGAGAGCAAGGGGAGCAAACAGG
RNAcentral lists this ribosomal RNA (253 nucleotides) under uncultured bacterium. RNAcentral's name for it is "partial 16S ribosomal RNA". It matches the Rfam family "Bacterial small subunit ribosomal RNA", at positions 524 to 776 of the family's 1533-position model. The record is from RNAcentral.